GGAUUAGAUACCCUGGUAGUCCGCGCAGUAAACGGUGAUCACUAGGUGUAGCGGGUAUUGACCCCUGCUGUGCCGGAGCAAACGCAUUAAGUGAUCCGCCUGGGAAGUACGGUCGCAAGAUUAAAACUCAAAGGAAUUGACGGGGGCCCGCACAAGCGGUGGAGCAUGUGGUUUAAUUCGACGCAACGCGAAGAACCUUACCUGGGCUUGAAAUCCCGAUCGUAUCAUAUGGAAACAUAUGAGUCGGUUCGGCCGGAUCGGUGACAGGUGCUGCAUGGCUGUCGUCAGCUCGUGCCG
RNAcentral lists this ribosomal RNA (297 nucleotides) under uncultured bacterium. RNAcentral's name for it is "partial 16S ribosomal RNA". It matches the Rfam family "Bacterial small subunit ribosomal RNA", at positions 775 to 1067 of the family's 1533-position model. The record is from RNAcentral.